UCGUCUAUAUACGUAUAGCAUAUCAAUAAGCGGAGGAAAAGAAACUAACAAGGAUUCCCUUAGUAACGGCGAGUGAAGCGGGAAGAGCUCAAAUUUGAAAUCUUCAAGGUUCUACCUUGACGAAUUGUAGUUUAUAGAAGUGUUUUCUGUUAGUGGAGUGGCAAAAGUUCUUUGGAAUAGGACAUCAUAGAGGGUGAGAAUCCCGUAUUUGGUCAUUCCUCCUAGCGUUGUGAUACACUUUCGACGAGUCGGAUUGUUUGGGAAUGCAGUCCAAAAUGGGUGGUAAAUUUCAUCUAAAGCUAAAUAUUGGCGAGAGACCGAUAGCGAACAAGUACCGUGAGGGAAAGAUGAAAAGAACUUUGAAAAGAGAGUUAAACAGUACGUGAAAUUGUCAAAAGGGAAGCGUUUGACACCAGUGUUGCUUUUCCGAAAAUCAAUUACGAAUGUUUUAUUUUUGAGGAGUUAUGACUUCAUCGGCUUGCUCCUUUCUUUAUGAAACUUUCUUAAUGCACUUUUCGGUUAACAAGUCAACAUCAAUUUCUUUUGUUGUAAAAGGGUUAUGAGGAAGGUGGCUUUACUUUCGGAGUAAAGUGUUUAUAGCCUUGUAGCCUCUGCAAUCGGAGAGAUUGAGGUCUGCAGCGUAGAUCCUUCGGGGUUAGAUACAUUUGUGCUAAGUUAUAGCUUUUCAUAGACAACUUGUUGACUAUGUUUAGUCUUGUGACUUACUCGCUUACGCUAUUUUACCUACGCUUAGGAUGUUGAAGAUAUGCGCGACACG
This 778-nucleotide ribosomal RNA is filed under the name uncultured Neocallimastigales. RNAcentral describes it as "partial large subunit ribosomal RNA". It matches the Rfam family "Eukaryotic large subunit ribosomal RNA", at positions 25 to 644 of the family's 3401-position model. The record is from RNAcentral. Lineage: Eukaryota; Fungi; Neocallimastigomycota; Neocallimastigomycetes; Neocallimastigales.